GACGAACGCUGGCGGCGUGCUUAACACAUGCAAGUCGAACGGAAAGGCCCUGCUUUUGUGGGGUGCUCGAGUGGCGAACGGGUGAGUAACACGUGAGUAACCUGCCCUUGACUUUGGGAUAACUUCAGGAAACUGGGGCUAAUACCGGAUAGGAGCUCCUGCUGCAUGGUGGUGGUUGGACAGUUUCGGCGGUUGGGGGUGGACUCGCGGCUAAUCAGCUUGUUGGUGGGGGAUUGGCUUACCAAGUCUUAGGCGGGUAGCCGGCACGAGAGGUGGAACGCGGACCAUGGGACUGAGAUACGCAGCAGAGUCGUACGGGAGGCAGUAGUGGGGAAUAUGGCACAGCGGGCGGAAGCCUGAGGAGGCAACGUCGGGAGCGUGAUGACGGCCAUCUGGGGGUAAACCGCUUUCGCUUGUUACGAUGCGUGAGUGACGGUAAUGGGUGAAGAAGCACCGGCUAACUACGUG
This 468-nucleotide ribosomal RNA is filed under the name uncultured bacterium. RNAcentral's name for it is "partial 16S ribosomal RNA". It matches the Rfam family "Bacterial small subunit ribosomal RNA", at positions 28 to 507 of the family's 1533-position model. The record is from RNAcentral.